AAGUCUGGGGCUUCCUUACCUUUUUAUUUUUAUUUUUGUUUUUUUAUAAUAUAUAUCUUAGAUGAAAGAUUAAGGCUUCCUUAUGGCUUCCAAGUAUCUCAACAUUUUGCCUGCUAGUGGAAGGAAACUUUUAAAUGGGGUAAUACUCGUUAACCCUAAAAUUUUAAGACUAAAGCUUCUUGUUACUGGUGUUGUUGUUGAAUAUGUCAUACUGAUACUCACUUAUUAUUAACUUUCUUUGCUACUUAGAUUUACGUAUCAGCAAAUUUGAGCACCAUAAAUCAUUGUUCCCACUAUUUGUGGAAUGUAGUUGGUCUUUCCACUUUUACUUCCAUGUUUGAUAUUCUCUCGACUUGGUCAAGCUAUACCACUAAGAAAAUGCUUGAAUGGUGGUUUAUUUGGACUAUGUGGUUCUACCAAAGGGUAUAAUUUUGAUUCGCUUUUUGGUUGAUGGUUUUAGAUGCUUGUUGAUGAUAUUGGAGAUGUGACAAUUACUAAUGAUGGUGCUACAAUACUGAAGAUGCUUUGAUUUUUUGAUAGCUUUUUAUGUACAAAGAACCACAUUUAAACAACUGCAUUUUUUGGAAGUGUUGAAGGAUUUGUUUAAAUACUUUGGAACUUUGAUAAUGGUUAUAGACAACGUUAUGUAUUUGAUAAUAUAUUUCUAUGUUAAUAUAAUGUUAGUUUGGAGACA
Long non-coding RNA from Quercus lobata, 694 nucleotides. RefSeq lists it as uncharacterized. The transcript is spliced from 2 exons. Lineage: Eukaryota; Viridiplantae; Streptophyta; Magnoliopsida; Fagales; Fagaceae. The record is from RefSeq and is a predicted model, not a curated record.